RNAcentral lists this ribosomal RNA (441 nucleotides) under Triticum aestivum (bread wheat). RNAcentral describes it as "partial small subunit ribosomal RNA". Lineage: Eukaryota; Viridiplantae; Streptophyta; Magnoliopsida; Poales; Poaceae. The record is from RNAcentral.
AUGGAGUCGCAGACCAUCCGCCACAUGAUCGAGGAUGACUGCGCCAACAAAGGCAUCCCGAUCCCCAACAUCAACUCCAAGGCCCUCUCCAAGGUCAUCGAGUACUGCAACAAACAUGUCAUGGCCAAGACAGUCGAUGUCUCUAGUGGAUCCACAGGUGUUGCUGCAUCCGACACCAUGGCUCCCGCCGCCCUAGCCGGGGACCUCAAGAUCUGGGACGCAGAAUUCAUCAACGUCGACCCUGACACCCACUUUGACCUCAUCAAGGCAGCAAGUUACCUCAACAUCAAGGGGUUGUUGGACCUGACUUGCCAGACUACUGCAGACAUGAUUAGCGGAAAACCUCCGGAGGAGAUUCGUAAUUUCUUCAAGAUCCAGAACGACUACUUGCCAGAGGAGGAGGAGAAGAUCCGCAGGGAGAACCAGUGGGCAUUUCAGUAG